Molecule: ribosomal RNA, 253 nt
Filed under: uncultured bacterium
Lineage: Bacteria
Description: partial 16S ribosomal RNA
Rfam family: Bacterial small subunit ribosomal RNA
Source: RNAcentral
UACGGAGGGGACUAGCGUUGUUCGGAAUUACUGGGCGUAAAGCGCACGUAGGCGGAUUUGUAAGUCAGGGGUGAAAUCCCGGGGCUCAACCUCGGAACUGCCUUUGAUACUGCAAAUCUCGAGUCCGGAGGAGGUGAGUGGAAUUCCUAGUGUAGAGGUGAAAUUCGUAGAUAUUAGGAAGAACACCAGUGGCGAAGGCGGCUCACUGGUCCGGUACUGACGCUGAGGAGCGAAAGCGUGGGUAGCGAACAGG